RNAcentral lists this unclassified non-coding RNA (366 nucleotides) under Acacia phlebophylla. RNAcentral describes it as "partial external transcribed spacer". Lineage: Eukaryota; Viridiplantae; Streptophyta; Magnoliopsida; Fabales; Fabaceae. The record is from RNAcentral.
GAACGGUCGGCAGGCGAUCCGCGUCGGUCGCGCGAGGUGGUAUGGUUCCCCAGAGGCCGGUUCUUGUGCUGCCUACCCCUUCAGGGGAAGCGGGCCACUUGAUGUAAGCCUCCAUCCGGCGCCCUCCAACGGGCGCAGGAGGACAACGGAGCACCCCCCGCGUUCCACCGAGCCUUCGCCGGUCGCGUGGCGCGCGGGGACGUGCGAUGCUCUCGGACCCAGCGAACGCCGUGGGCGAGGACUCACGUCCCAGUCCCGAUAGAAGCUUCGGUAUAAUGCAUGACGGCCGCACCCGGCCCCCGACCGCCCCUGCGGCGCGUGGGCGAGGCGCGGCGUCGCGGAGGAAUGCUACCUGGUUGAUCCUGC